GGGAAUGUGAGCUGUUAUUGUCAAAGCCACCACUAAGCUGGGGAAUAGAGGAGACAGGAUUGGGAAAAGUGGAAUUUUGGAGUUUUGUAUUCUGCAAUUUUUACUGAUCGCACUCUAACAGGAUCUAGCCUGAGUUAUAUCAGUGGUGGUGAAAACUCCUGGGUAGCCCUAUGAUCCCCACUCCUGGUGUUCAUUCUUGGAUGAUCGUCCUCCCUUGCAUAUGGAUGUGACCUGUGACUUGCUUCUAAUCAGUAGAAUAUGACACAGGUGAAGGAUGUGUGUGAACAUGUGUAUGUGACUUCAUGAUAUGAGAUAAUCUAUCUUGGUAGGAGAGUCUCCUCUCCCCACCUCAACGCUUUGAGGAAGAAAGCUGCCAUGUUGUGAGCUGCCAUUUGGAAAGGGCUGUGUGGCAAGGAGCUGAGGGGUGGCCUUGGCCCCUGUCUGACAGCCAGCUAGAACCCAAAGCUCGCAGUUCAGCCUGCAAGGAACUGAAUUCUGUCAACAACCACAGGAGUUGGAAGUGGAUUCUUCCACAGUUGGCCUCAGAUGAGACACCUUGACUGCAGCUUUGUAACACCUAGAAGCAGAGGACCCAGCUAAUCUGCUCCUGGACUCCUGGCCCACAGAAGCUACAAAGAGAUGAAUGUAUGUUGUUUGAAGCCACUGUGUGGUGGUAACAUUGCUACACAGCAAUAGAUAAUAAAUAUGUCAACGAUUUGGACUUUUCCAAGAAACCACUG
Molecule: non-coding RNA, 740 nt
Organism: Microcebus murinus (gray mouse lemur)
Lineage: Eukaryota; Metazoa; Chordata; Mammalia; Primates; Cheirogaleidae
Source: RefSeq, a predicted model, not a curated record